AGCAGCCGCGGUAAUUCCAGCUCCAAUAGCGUAUAUUAAAGUUGUUGCAGUUAAAAAGCUCGUAGUUGAACUUCAGGCCUGUCCAGAUGGUCCGCCUUAAUUGGUGUGUACUGUCCUUGGGUGGGUCCUACCUUCUGGCGAAGCGGCAUGGCCUUAAUUGGUUGUGUCGGGGAAGCAGGACUUUUACUGUGAAAAAAUUAGAGUGUUCAAAGCAGGCAAAUAUGCUCGAAUACAUUAGCAUGGAAUAAUGGAAUAGGACGAUGGUUCUAUUUUGUUGGUUCUAGGACCGUUGUAAUGAUUAAUAGGGAUAGUUGGGGGCAUUAGUAUUCAAUUGUCAGAGGUGAAAUUCUUGGAUUUAUUGAAGACUAACUACUGCGAAAGCAUUUGCCAAGGAUGUUUUCAUUAAUCAAGAACGAAAGUUAGGGGAUCGAAGACGAUCAGAUACCGUCGUAGUCUUAACCAUAAACUAUGCCGACUAGGAAUCGGGCGAUGUUGACAAAAUGACUCGCUCGGCACCUCAUG
RNAcentral lists this ribosomal RNA (522 nucleotides) under uncultured Paraglomeraceae. Its description in RNAcentral is "SSU rRNA". It matches the Rfam family "Eukaryotic small subunit ribosomal RNA", at positions 569 to 1092 of the family's 1831-position model. Lineage: Eukaryota; Fungi; Glomeromycota; Glomeromycetes; Paraglomerales. The record is from RNAcentral.